Molecule: ribosomal RNA, 506 nt
Filed under: uncultured bacterium
Lineage: Bacteria
Description: partial 16S ribosomal RNA
Rfam family: Bacterial small subunit ribosomal RNA
Source: RNAcentral
AGUGAGCGCUGGCGGUAGGCCUAACACAUGCAAGUCGAACGGCAGCACAGAGGAGCUUGCUCCUUGGGUGGCGAGUGGCGGACGGGUGAGGAAUACAUCGGAAUCUACUCUGUCGUGGGGGAUAACGUAGGGAAACUUACGCUAAUACCGCAUACGACCUACGGGUGAAAGCAGGGGAUCUUCGGACCUUGCGCGAUUGAAUGAGCCGAUGUCGGAUUAGCUAGUUGGCGGGGUAAAGGCCCACCAAGGCGACGAUCCGUAGCUGGUCUGAGAGGAUGAUCAGCCAAACUGGAACUGAGACACGGUCCAGACUCCUACGGGAGGCAGCAGUGGGGAAUAUUGGACAAUGGGCGCAAGCCUGAUCCAGCCAUACCGCGUGGGUGAAGAAGGCCUUCGGGUUGUAAAGCCCUUUUGUUGGGAAAGAAAUCCAUCUGGUUAAUACCCGGGUGGGAUGACGGUACCCAAAGAAUAAGCACCGGCUAACUUCGUGCCAGCCGCCGCCAUAA